Molecule: ribosomal RNA, 468 nt
Filed under: uncultured bacterium
Lineage: Bacteria
Description: partial 16S ribosomal RNA
Rfam family: Bacterial small subunit ribosomal RNA
Source: RNAcentral
GACGAACGCUGGCGGCGUGCUUAACACAUGCAAGUCGAACGGAAAGGCCCUGCUUUUGUGGGGUGCUCGAGUGGCGAACGGGUGAGUAACACGUGAGUAACCUGCCCUUGACUUUGGGAUAACUUCAGGAAACUGGGGCUAAUACUGGAUAGGAGCUCCUGCUGCAUGGUGGGGGGUGGAAAGUUUCGGCGGUUGGGGAUGGACUCGCGGCUUAUCAGCUUGUUGGUGGGGUAGUGGCUUACCAAGGCUUUGACGGGUAGCCGGCCUGAGAGGGUGACCGGCCACAUUGGGACUGAGAUACGGCCCAGACUCCUACGGGAGGCAGCAGUGGGGAAUAUUGCACAAUGGGCGGAAGCCUGAUGCAGCAACGCCGCGUGCGGGAUGACGGCCUUCGGGUUGUAAACCGCUUUCGCCUGUGACGAAGCGUGAGUGACGGUAAUGGGUAAAGAAGCACCGGCUAACUACGUG